This 206-nucleotide long non-coding RNA is filed under the name Gossypium raimondii (Peruvian cotton). Its description in RNAcentral is "long non-coding RNA (GRAI_LNC005403)". Lineage: Eukaryota; Viridiplantae; Streptophyta; Magnoliopsida; Malvales; Malvaceae. The record is from RNAcentral.
AAACAGAUAUAAUCACAGUAUAAGCAGAAUAUCAUAAGAGAGGGAGAAAACUAAAACUGCCCUGAAUAUUGGAUGAAAUCGCAAGAAUGGUGAAAAAUUAUUUUGUAGGCAAAUUUAAAUGUAGUGCAUGAUUCUGAGCAAACUAAUAAGAAAAUAAACACAAAUAGUGAAGAAGAUUAAAAUGUUACAAGUCAAUUAGAAACAAC